CAGAUUAUAGCUUAUAUAAAGCUUUUUAGUUACAUUAAUAAGAAAAUUAUUUUAUUUAAUCUGA
Molecule: transfer RNA, 64 nt
Filed under: Balclutha sp. EMHAU-2015-Zz052711
Lineage: Eukaryota; Metazoa; Arthropoda; Insecta; Hemiptera; Cicadellidae
Description: tRNA-Val
Source: RNAcentral